UGGGGAAUAUUGCACAAUGGGCGCAAGCCUGAUGCAGCCAUGCCGCGUGUGUGAAGAAGGCCUUCGGGUUGUAAAGCACUUUCAGCGAGGAGGAAGGUGGUGAACUUAAUACGUUCAUCAAUUGACGUUACUCGCAGAAGAAGCACCGGCUAACUCCGUGCCAGCAGCCGCGGUAAUACGGAGGGUGCAAGCGUUAAUCGGAAUUACUGGGCGUAAAGCGCACGCAGGCGGUUUGUUAAGUCAGAUGUGAAAUCCCCGGGCUCAACCUGGGAACUGCAUUUGAAACUGGCAAGCUAGAGUCUCGUAGAGGGGGGUAGAAUUCCAGGUGUAGCGGUGAAAUGCGUAGAGAUCUGGAGGAAUACCGGUGGCGAAGGCGGCCCCCUGGACGAAGACUGACGCUCAGGUGCGAAAGCGUGGGGAGCAAACAGAUUAGAUACCCUGGUAGUCCACGCUGUAAACGAUGUCGAUUUUGGAGGUUGUGCCCCUU
Molecule: ribosomal RNA, 487 nt
Filed under: uncultured bacterium
Lineage: Bacteria
Description: partial 16S ribosomal RNA
Rfam family: Bacterial small subunit ribosomal RNA
Source: RNAcentral